Long non-coding RNA from Labrus mixtus (cuckoo wrasse), 499 nucleotides. RefSeq lists it as uncharacterized. The record is from RefSeq and is a predicted model, not a curated record. The transcript has 3 exons. Lineage: Eukaryota; Metazoa; Chordata; Actinopteri; Labriformes; Labridae.
CUUCAGUUCGAGCUCGCUUUGCUCUUAGGACACGUUUUAGACUUUGAAUUUCUGCCUGAAUCACCUGAAGCUGCUCUUCUUCAGGUGAUUAGUUUAAAAAAAAAAAAAAAGAAACUUUGAGAGAUUUGAAGGUGAAUCAGUCAGACCACCAUGACGGCUCUCAGGUGUGUCAGCAGCUUCAGACCUGCUGCUCAGAGAGGGAAGUGUUUGCUCAGCUCUGAAAGCUGACUGACAGAUCCGUCCCACCAACCCGAAGUCCACCAGGCACCAGGGUCUCGUCCAAAACUCUGAUGUUGGUGUUGGGGUUUGUGUGGUGGGACUGUCGUAUGAAGCAGCAGUGACCUCCGUCGUCCAAUCAGGCGUCUCUGCCCGUCAACAUAGUGGGAGAGUAACUGUGUAUGUGUGAGCAUGUAAAAAGUCCAGUUAGCAACGUUUGCACCAGCGCUACUUGGGUUACGUCUGCCAUCGCACUAAUCUCAUGUAAACUAAAGUGACAGCA